UACGUAGGGAGCAAGCGUUGUCCGGAAUCAUUGGGCGUAAAGCGCGCGUAGGCGGCCCGAUAAGUCCGCUGUGAAAGUCAACGGCUCAACUGUUGGAUGCCGGUGGAUACUGUCGGGCUAGAGUACGGAAGAGGCAAGUGGAAUUCCUGGUGUAGCGGUGGAAUGCGCAGAUAUCAGGAGGAACACCUAUAGCGAAGGCAGCUUGCUGGGACGUUACUGACGCCAAGGCGCGAAAGCGUGGGGAGCGAACAGG
RNAcentral lists this ribosomal RNA (253 nucleotides) under uncultured bacterium. RNAcentral's name for it is "partial 16S ribosomal RNA". It matches the Rfam family "Bacterial small subunit ribosomal RNA", at positions 524 to 776 of the family's 1533-position model. The record is from RNAcentral.